This is a long non-coding RNA of Poecilia reticulata (guppy), 614 nucleotides long. RefSeq lists it as uncharacterized. NCBI's taxonomy places the organism in Eukaryota, Metazoa, Chordata, Actinopteri, Cyprinodontiformes, Poeciliidae. The record is from RefSeq and is a predicted model, not a curated record.
GAUUUGCUGGCGCUGUGCGGCAAUAUCUUGUUGCAGUGAAGGCCUGGUUAAAUAUGGUACGAUUUACUUGCUCAUAUGAAGCUGCAACAAGAAGACAAGGACACACAAUUAAACGCAGAAAGAGGUAAAUAAACGCUGUCCAGAAUCCCCUGACUAGGAACAUUUUUAAACGAUGGGCUUCUUUCAGCCGCGUUCCGGAACGCGGUUGCUAGGCGACGGGUUAGCCUAUCCUAGCGGCUCCAACCUGCACGUUUUACCUCGAAGCGCAGAUUUCUGUUUACAGGGAUCUACUGUAGCUUCACAUCCGAGGGGAAGAGAAACAAGCGGAACUAAUUGGUCCAUCCUCCCGACGCCUGGGCAGGAGACGGAAUUGUGCAAGUUCACUUGGCAGGCACUUCGCAGGCCGACAUCUGGAGAGCAUUACGUGUGCAACAGAGACGUGAAGCCAUGGGCUUUCAGCAAUUUGACACUACAAUUAAAAUGCCAAAUUAGAGUUUAAGCAUCCUGGUGUGAGCAACAUGAGGAGAAGGCCCCAAGUUCAGCUACAAAGAGAUGGAUGAAAACAGCGAAGAAGAUCGAAACGGCGUCUUAAUUAAACAUAACUUUAAAAUGCA